GGUAUGGAUAGAAUGGCUGAAUAUAAGUAUUAGACUGUAAAUCUAAAUAUAAAGGUUAAAAAUCCUUUUUCUAUCA
RNAcentral lists this transfer RNA (76 nucleotides) under Echimys chrysurus (White-faced spiny tree-rat). RNAcentral's name for it is "tRNA-Tyr". It matches the Rfam family "tRNA". Rfam says of the family: Transfer RNA (tRNA) molecules are approximately 80 nucleotides in length. Lineage: Eukaryota; Metazoa; Chordata; Mammalia; Rodentia; Echimyidae. The record is from RNAcentral.